AAAUUGAAGAGUUUGAUCAUGGCUCAGAUUGAACGCUGGCGGCAGGCCUAACACAUGCAAGUCGAACGGUAACAGGAAGCAGCUUGCUGCUUCGCUGACGAGUGGCGGACGGGUGAGUAAUGUCUGGGAAACUGCCUGAUGGAGGGGGAUAACUACUGGAAACGGUAGCUAAUACCGCAUAAUGUCGCAAGACCAAAGAGGGGGACCUUCGGGCCUCUUGCCAUCGGAUGUGCCCAGAUGGGAUUAGCUUGUUGGUGGGGUAACGGCUCACCAAGGCGACGAUCCCUAGCUGGUCUGAGAGGAUGACCAG
This 310-nucleotide ribosomal RNA is filed under the name Escherichia coli. RNAcentral's name for it is "bacterial SSU rRNA". It matches the Rfam family "Bacterial small subunit ribosomal RNA", at positions 1 to 307 of the family's 1533-position model. RNAcentral also lists the same sequence under 1 other name. The record is from RNAcentral. Lineage: Bacteria; Pseudomonadati; Pseudomonadota; Gammaproteobacteria; Enterobacterales; Enterobacteriaceae.